RNAcentral lists this ribosomal RNA (191 nucleotides) under Diversispora epigaea. Lineage: Eukaryota; Fungi; Glomeromycota; Glomeromycetes; Diversisporales; Diversisporaceae. The record is from RNAcentral.
UGUGUUAUAGCCGUCUUGGUCGUACACGGUGUCUGGGAUCGAGGACUGCAGCACGGCCUUUGGCGGGGUUCGCCCACGCCACGUGCUUAGGAUGCUGGCAUAAUGGCUUUAAACGACCCGUCUUGAAACACGGACCAAGGAGUCUAACAUAUAUGCGAGUGUUUAACACUCGCAUAUAUGCUAGAGGGGCG